GUUUUAAGAGAGUUCGCUCCAAUAGACUAUGGGCGUAACGCUCAAGCAUGUGGUAGCGGCUGAGAGGUUCGGCAAUGGACUGAGAUACGGCCGUCCUACGGAGCAGCAGUAGAUUUGGCAUGGGGAAACCUGACGCAGCACGCAUGUGUGGGAUGACGCAUUUCGGUGGUAAGCACGUCGCAGGGAUAAAGCCACAUUUAUGUGGGGUGAAUGUACUGCAGAGGAAGCCCCGGCUAACUUCGUGCCAGCAGCCGCGGUAAUACGAGGGGGGCAAGUGUUGUCGGAAUCACUGGGCGUAAAGGGAGCGUAGGCGGAUGUUUAAGUUGGAUGUUUAAAACCGGGGCCUAACCUCGGAGCGGCAUCCAAAACUGGGCAUCUUGAAUAGGUCAGAGGCUGGUGGAAUUGGAGGUGUAGCGGUGGAAUGCGUAGAGAUCUCCAAGAACACCUAUUGCGAAGGCAGCCAGCUGGGACCAUAUUGACGCUGAGGCUCGAAAGCAUGGGGAGCAAACAGGAUUAGAUACCCUGGUAGUCCAUGCCGUAAACGAUGAACACUAGGUUUUGGGCUCGUCAACGGUCCAGAGCCGCAGCUAACGCGUUAAGUGUUCCGCCUGGGGAAUACGGUCGCAAGACUGAAACUCAAAGGAAUUGACGGGGGCCCGCACAAGCGGUGGAGCAUGUGGUUUAAUUCGACGCAACGCGCAGAACCUUACCAGGACUUGACAUGGAAGUGACCGGACGAGAGAUCGUUCUUCUCCCGCAAGGGAGCACUUCACACAGGUGCUGCAUGGCUGUCGUCAGCUCGUGUCGUGAGAUGUUGGGUUAAGUCCCGCAACGAGCGCAACCCUCGUUUCUAGUUGCCAUCAUUCAGUUGGGCACUCUAGAGAGACUGCCGCGAAUAACGCGGAGGAAGGUGGGGACGACGUCAAGUCAUCAUGGCCCUUACGUCCUGGGCUACACACGUGCUACAAUGGGCGUUACAGAGGGUCGCAAUAGUGUAAACUGGAGCCAAUCCCCAAAAACGUCCUCAGUUCAGAUCGAGGUCUGCAACCCGACCUCGUGAAGGUGGAAUCGCUAGUAAUCGCGGAUCAGAACGCCGCGGUGAAUACGUUCCCGGGCCUUGUACACACCGCCCGUCAAGCCACGAAAGGAGAGAGCGCUCUAAGCCGCCACGGUAACCCGCAAGGGAACUAAGCGUCUAAAGCGAGAUCUAGUCU
Molecule: ribosomal RNA, 1214 nt
Filed under: uncultured bacterium
Lineage: Bacteria
Description: partial 16S ribosomal RNA
Rfam family: Bacterial small subunit ribosomal RNA
Source: RNAcentral